UACAGAGGGGGCAAGCGUUGUUCGGAAUUACUGGGCGUAAAGGGCGCGUAGGCGGCCUGUUAAGUCGAACGUGAAAUCCCCAGGCUCAACCUGGGAACUGCGCUCGAGACUGGCAGGCUUGAAUCCGGGAGAGGGAUGUGGAAUUCCAGGUGUAGCGGUGAAAUGCGUAGAUAUCUGGAGGAACACCGGUGGCGAAGGCGACAUCCUGGACCGGCAUUGACGCUGAGGCGCGAAAGCUAGGGUAGCAAACGGG
This 253-nucleotide unclassified non-coding RNA is filed under the name uncultured Acidobacteriota bacterium. RNAcentral's name for it is "uncultured Acidobacteria bacterium contains 16S-23S intergenic spacer region". It matches the Rfam family "Bacterial small subunit ribosomal RNA", at positions 524 to 776 of the family's 1533-position model. The record is from RNAcentral. Lineage: Bacteria; Pseudomonadati; Acidobacteriota.